This 425-nucleotide ribosomal RNA is filed under the name Streptomyces sp. 8LC4. RNAcentral describes it as "bacterial SSU rRNA". It matches the Rfam family "Bacterial small subunit ribosomal RNA", at positions 10 to 439 of the family's 1533-position model. Lineage: Bacteria; Bacillati; Actinomycetota; Actinomycetes; Kitasatosporales; Streptomycetaceae. The record is from RNAcentral.
AGUUUGAUCCUGGCUCAGGACGAACGCUGGCGGCGUGCUUAACACAUGCAAGUCGAACGAUGAAGCCCUUCGGGGUGGAUUAGUGGCGAACGGGUGAGUAACACGUGGGCAAUCUGCCCUUCACUCUGGGACAAGCCCUGGAAACGGGGUCUAAUACCGGAUAACACUCUGUCCCUCAUGGGAUGGGGUUAAAAGCUCCGGCGGUGAAGGAUGAGCCCGCGGCCUAUCAGCUUGUUGGUGGGGUAAUGGCCUACCAAGGCGACGACGGGUAGCCGGCCUGAGAGGGCGACCGGCCACACUGGGACUGAGACACGGCCCAGACUCCUACGGGAGGCAGCAGUGGGGAAUAUUGCACAAUGGGCGAAAGCCUGAUGCAGCGACGCCGCGUGAGGGAUGACGGCCUUCGGGUUGUAAACCUCUUCAGC